Candidatus Woesebacteria bacterium is the source of this 74-nucleotide non-coding RNA. The record is from Rfam. Lineage: Bacteria; Candidatus Woeseibacteriota.
GGGGUUAUAGCUCAAUUGGUCAGAGCGCUUCCCUGUCACGGAAGAGGUUGGGAGUUCGAGUCUCCUUGACCCCG